RNAcentral lists this long non-coding RNA (259 nucleotides) under Setaria viridis. Its description in RNAcentral is "long non-coding RNA (SVIR_LNC002745)". The record is from RNAcentral. Lineage: Eukaryota; Viridiplantae; Streptophyta; Magnoliopsida; Poales; Poaceae.
GAGUGGCGAGGUUGGGGAUGGUGUGGUCAGGAGGAUGGUGCGGGGGCAGAGGAGGGGUAGUUGGAGUCCAGCACUAAUUUUAGGAGGUUUUAGAAGGGGGGUGGAGGGACUAAAAGUUUUGAGCCUCCUAAAACAUUUUAGUCACUUUUUAGGAGAAGUAUUUGACUCUUUAGUCACAUUUUAGUCACUUUUUAGGAGUUAAAAUUUUGGAAGGGCGGAAACAAACAGUCCUUUCGUCCGAUGUCUCGCUCGUCACGAG